Molecule: ribosomal RNA, 358 nt
Filed under: uncultured Desulfitobacterium sp.
Lineage: Bacteria; Bacillati; Bacillota; Clostridia; Eubacteriales; Desulfitobacteriaceae
Description: bacterial SSU rRNA
Rfam family: Bacterial small subunit ribosomal RNA
Source: RNAcentral
GUUGGGUGGGGGUAAGGCCUACCAAGGCGACGAUCAGUAGCCGGCCUGAGAGGGUGAACGGCCACACUGGGACUGAGACACGGCCCAGACUCCUACGGGAGGCAGCAGUGGGGAAUCUUCCGCAAUGGACGAAAGUCUGACGGAGCAACGCCGCGUGUAUGACGAAGGCCUUCGGGUUGUAAAGUACUGUUUUCAGGGACGAAUGGUAGAGGUGUAAAUAAUGCCUUUACAUGACGGUACCUGAAGAGGAAGCCCCGGCUAACUACGUGCCAGCAGCCGCGGUAAUACGUAGGGGGCAAGCGUUGUCCGGAAUCAUUGGGCGUAAAGGGCGCGUAGGCGGAUAUUUAAGUCUGGUGUG